AAUGCUGACGAGUGGCGAACGGGUGAGUAAUGUAUAGUUAAUUUGCCUCUUAGAUAGGGAUAGCCAUUGGAAACGAUGAUUAAUACCUAAUACUCCUUUAACUGUAAGAGUUAAAGGGAAACGCUUUAUUGUGCUAAGAGAUAAGACUAUAUCCUAUCAGUUAGUUGGUAGUGUAAGAGACUACCAAGACAAUGACGGGUAGCUGGUCUGAGAGGAUGAUCAGCCACACUGGAACUGAGACACGGUCCAGACUCCUACGGGAGGCAGCAGUGGGGAAUAUUGCACAGUGGAGGAAACUCUGAUGCAGCAACGCCGCGUGGAGGAUGACGCAUUUCGGUGUGUAAACUCCUUUUAUAUGGGAAGAUAAUGACGGUACCAUAUGAAUAAGCACC
RNAcentral lists this ribosomal RNA (392 nucleotides) under uncultured bacterium. RNAcentral describes it as "bacterial SSU rRNA". It matches the Rfam family "Bacterial small subunit ribosomal RNA", at positions 84 to 494 of the family's 1533-position model. The record is from RNAcentral.